Desulfosporosinus sp. I2 is the source of this 118-nucleotide non-coding RNA. NCBI's taxonomy places the organism in Bacteria, Bacillati, Bacillota, Clostridia, Eubacteriales, Desulfitobacteriaceae. The record is from Rfam.
GAGGGAAGGCCCCUCGAAGCUGCCAUGCAGGUGGAGGCUUCAAACCACCUUAAGCUGCUGUGGACAAAAGCCAUGGUAGUGAGCGUUAAGGAAAAGGCGAGGCAAGACCUCGUCAGGU